RNAcentral lists this long non-coding RNA (2440 nucleotides) under Taeniopygia guttata (zebra finch). RNAcentral's name for it is "lncRNA (ENSTGUG00000019711.1)". The record is from RNAcentral. Lineage: Eukaryota; Metazoa; Chordata; Aves; Passeriformes; Estrildidae.
GGGAGCGGCCGUGUCCGGCUGAGCCCCUCUGCCAGAGCGUCCCCAGGAAGAUUCAUUAGCUCUUGACUGGCUCUCCUGGCUUGCUGACUACUUGUGGAAAAAGCCAUUUACCCUGGUGAAUGUCAAGGCCAGAAGGUGAGGGCCAGCUCUGAGGGUCCCGUCCAGAGAGCCACCUCUCCCACUCUGAUGCCCAUCUGAGGGUCCUGGGACCAAAGGGAAGCAUAAAGGAUAGACAUGUCCUUGUUGCAAAAGGCAGAGCACACCUAUGGCAAACAGACACUGUGAGCAAGAAUAAAGAUUAAGGAAAUAAAGUGCUGUCUUACAGCAUUUCUUAGCUAGGAGACCGAGAGCCUUCUGUAAAAAGCUCAUUAGGAAUCUUAAUACAGAAGGAAAAAGUGCUGCAAUUAUAAAGAUUCAACUCAAAAUAUUUUUGGAGACUGUAGUAGCUUUUGAAUUCUCUCAUUCACCUAUAAGGCACAAGAGAAGCUUGGUCUGAGAGUUCUGGUGCAGAAGAGCUCUCCUGUAAAGCAAUACUCACCUACAGUCAAUUAGACAUUAGCCAGUGCUUUGAAGUUUAGAGACUCUGAGAUUCUUCAAAUCUUUUGAACCAGUAUUUCAGCCGAGGUCAAACACGGCACCGAGACCUUGCUUCAGACUUCUCUGCCCUCGCAACAACAAACAUGGUUUGUGGUAUUUCUAAUUUGUGGAGGUUUCUGAGAUGAGCAGAUCAAAAAUGUAAAUGGCUUCAGCCCUCGGGUCAAGCAGGCAAUCUGUGCCAGCGUGUGAAGGAAAUGAGUAUGACAGUUCACAAAACGUUGCUUCCAGGAAUAAGUGCGCUCAGUUUCCUAAUAAUCUAAUGGUGGGCUUAAAGAGGACGCUCCGAAUCCCAGUCUCCCUCUGAAUUUCCUCUGGGUUGCAGCUGGAGAGCAGACCCUGGACCUGUCAGAAGACAGAUCUGUCUACUUAGAAGGCCUAGGCUUGGACAUAACUUUUGGUCACCGCAUGUUUCAGCAUCUGCCUGACUUGCUGGGUCAGGAUUCAAAGGAGCCUGUGUUUUUUACCCCUGUGCAAAUGAGUCCUGCAAAAAACCCUUCCCUGCUUUUAUUGUCUGCAAGGCUCCUUUCCACACUAAUUCUGCACUUGUAAAACACUCCUGCAAAAUGAAGCCAGAGAUGUACAAGGCCGGUCCUGUCUGCUUCCAUUAGGGAUGGGGAGCAUUCCUAUCAGUUUGAAAGUAGGUCGAGGCCUUUUCAUGUUCAUUCAGUUUUCAGGUUUCAUUUUUACACACACACACAUAUUAUAGGUGGGGCUGAUGGCACUGUCUAUUACUAAGAUUGUAUGACACUUCCCAUUAUAAGAAACUGUUUCAUUUGCUUAUAACUUCGCCAAACUCAAACCAGACUUUUUCUGUAAUUGCAGCUUCCAGCUGCUGGAAGAGGGGCCUUGGAGAGAACAACAGGAAUCAUUUUUCCUUGGGUAUCUCCAGGUCUUGGAGACACAGAAAAGGAAACAUUUAAUGGGGGGAGAGGAGGACACAUGAGGAAGACUGUGAGGAUGGAAAGAAAUCCACAGCAUAACAGGUCAAGCAAAAUUGAAAUAUGGGAUGGGAAAGAUGGGUUACAGCUGGCCUUGCUUGGGUGGACACAGACUCUGCAGAGAGGAGCCGGUGCUAAAUGAUGAGGGGAAGAGUAAGGUUCUUUGGGCUAAGUAAUGAGAUAAAAACACUUGUAGGAAUAAAAAUAAUAAUUUUUUUUUUUUUAAAUAGACCCUGGGCAAGCAAUGAGACUGGGAGUCAGCUGAUGGCAGCAAAACAGUGGAGCUGGACAAGGACAUGAUGGUGGGGCAGGCUGGGUGAGGAAGCAGGAACAGAAUCCAACUGAAGGGUCGGUGCAGAAGGUCACAUAAUCACACCAGUUGGUCUGUGUCAAUGGGAAAAUGUCAGGGAUGUCCCACAGUGAAGGAAGAACUUUGAAUGAACUUCCCAACUUAUCCUGGAAAAAUGAAAGUAGCACAAAGCUGAGUUCAACAGACACGGAGUCUCCUUUUCUUAGAAACAGGCACUACCUGUGCUCCUCAGCAAGGGGAAGGAAAGGCCUUUCAGCCCCCUUAUCCCUAAACAGCAUCAAUUUCUGCCACUGCUUCCAGCAUAAACACUGGGUAUAAGGGGGAAAAAAUCAUAAAAUGAUCACUAAGAUUAAAAAAAAGCACAUUGACAAAGACUAUCUGAGCGGUGAGAGGAAAGAGCUACCGAGGGAAGCAUUCAUGGGCAAGUGCUCCCUUUGAGUUUCCCUGUGACCCUGUAAAGAUGAGAACUGAGGUGCCCCAAAUCCCUAGUGAGUUCUGAAAUUACAAGUUAUAUCUUCCAUAUUGCUAUAUUUCCUGACAUAAUUCUUAGGAACUAUUUGCACAUCCAGGGAUUCACAAAAAAAAAAAAAAAAAA